RNAcentral lists this ribosomal RNA (478 nucleotides) under uncultured anaerobic ammonium-oxidizing bacterium. Its description in RNAcentral is "bacterial SSU rRNA". It matches the Rfam family "Bacterial small subunit ribosomal RNA", at positions 364 to 832 of the family's 1533-position model. The record is from RNAcentral.
UUUCGCAAUGCCCGAAAGGGUGACGAAGCGACGCCGCGUGAGUGAGGAAGGCCUUCGGGUUGUAAAGCUCUGUCAGGAGUUAAGAAAUAUAAGUGUGCUAAUACCACAUUUAUUUGACGAAGGCUCCAAAGGAAGCCACGGCUAACUCUGUGCCAGCAGCCGCGGUAAUACAGAGGUGGCAAGCGUUGUUCGGAAUUAUUGGGCGUAAAGAGCACGUAGGUGGGUUUGUAAGUCAGAUGUGAAAGCCUUCUGUUCAACGGAAGAAUUGCAUCUGAAACUGCGAGUCUUGAGUGUAGGAGGGGAGAAUGGAACUUCUGGUGGAGCGGUGAAAUGCGUAGAUAUCAGAAGGAACGCCGGCGGCGAAAGCGAUUCUCUGGCCUAUUACUGACACUCAGUGUGCGAAAGCUAGGGGAGCAAACGGGAUUAGAUACCCCGGUAGUCCUAACCGUAAACGAUGGGCACUAAGUAGAGGGGUUUU